UUAGAUGUCCGGGGCCGCACGCGUGCUACACUGAAGGAAUCAGCGUGUGUUCUCCCGGUCCGUCGGGAUCGGGUAACCCGCUGAAACUCCUUCGUGAUAGGGAUAGGGGAUUGUAACUGUUCCCCUCGAACGAGGAAUUCCUAGUAGUCGCGGAUCAUCAGUCCGCGGCGACUAGGUCCCUGCCCUUUGUGCACACCGCCCGUCGCUACUACCGAUUGAACGAAUUAGUGAGGUCUUCGGACUGGCGUUCCCUCUGGGCAUCCGUCCGGUGGGACCUGCCGGAAAGAUGACCGAACUUGUUCGUUUAGAGGAAGUAAAAGUCGUAACAAGGUUACC
RNAcentral lists this ribosomal RNA (336 nucleotides) under Pholcus olangapo. Its description in RNAcentral is "bacterial SSU rRNA". It matches the Rfam family "Eukaryotic small subunit ribosomal RNA", at positions 1473 to 1804 of the family's 1831-position model. Lineage: Eukaryota; Metazoa; Arthropoda; Arachnida; Araneae; Pholcidae. The record is from RNAcentral.